This 1404-nucleotide ribosomal RNA is filed under the name Triticum aestivum (bread wheat). RNAcentral describes it as "partial small subunit ribosomal RNA". Lineage: Eukaryota; Viridiplantae; Streptophyta; Magnoliopsida; Poales; Poaceae. The record is from RNAcentral.
AUGAGCUGCUUCCCGUGCUCGGGGUCCUCGGGGAAGGCCGGGGAGGACGCGGCGGCGCUCUCGCCGUCGCCCCGGCCGUCGGCGGCGAAGCCGGCGCCAGAUCGAUACAAUUCUCGUAGUUCAAGCUCUGUUCGCAGAGGAGGAAGUGCUCCACAUGGCCCGGCAAAGAUUUUCACUUUCCGAGAGCUAGCUAUUGCUACCAAGAAUUUCAGAAAAGAUUGUUUGUUGGGUGAAGGUGGUUUUGGUCGUGUCUAUAAAGGACACAUGGAGAAUGGACAGCAGGUUAUUGCUGUGAAGCAACUCGACAGAAACGGUUUCCAAGGAAAUCGUGAAUUUCUUGUGGAGGUUCUCAUGCUAAGCCUCUUGCACCAUCCCAAUCUUGUCAGAUUAAUUGGCUAUUGCGCAGAUGGUGAUCAGCGCCUCCUCGUUUAUGAGUAUAUGUUAUUGGGAUCGUUAGAAAAUCAUCUGCAUGACCGCCCACCAGACAGGGAGCCCCUUGAUUGGAAUGCAAGGAUGAGGAUAGCUGUCGGUGCAGCGAAAGGUUUGGAGUACCUGCAUGAUAAGGCAAAUCCACCGGUCAUAUAUAGAGAUUUCAAACCAUCAAAUAUUCUUCUGAGCGAAGAUUAUUACCCGAAGCUGUCUGACUUUGGGCUUGCUAAACUUGGCCCUGUUGGUGAAAACACUCAUGUAUCAACAAGAGUUAUGGGAACGUAUGGCUAUUGCGCUCCUGAAUAUGCGAUGACAGGGCAGUUGACAGUAAAGUCUGAUGUUUACAGUUUUGGUGUUGUGUUCCUUGAACUUGUUACAGGUCGGAGAGCCAUUGAUCACACCAAGCCUGAUGGGGAGUCAAAUCUUGUUGCAUGGGCUCGCCCGAUGUUCAGAGACCGUCGAAAGUUCUGCCAGAUGGCCGACCCGUUGCUGCAAGGCCGGUAUCCCAAGAGGGGUUUGUACCAGGCUUUAGCCGUUGCAGCAAUGUGUUUGCAGGAGAAAGCGGCGUCCAGGCCCCUCAUAGGGGACAUUGUCACUGCACUUUCUUAUCUAGCUUCCCAACAUCAUGAUCCGAAAAGCUGUAGGACCUGCCCGUCUACCCCAAGGGCGAAAGCACACCGACGGACAACCAGUUGUGUUCCUGAUGCUCAACGUGCAGCUGACACGCUUAACUGGGACGCCGUGGACUUGAGGAGAAAGGAGGCUAGAGGAGGGGAGUUUGAAGAGGAUCUCAGUGAAGGCUGCUGCAGUGGCAGUAGCUCUGGGAGGAAUGAUGGCCUGGAUGUGCCAGUACUGCUUGCCUUGCACAGUGGGAAGUCUUACAGUGAAGCUGAUAGAGAUCGCAAGUCUGCUGUCAAGGUCGAUGCCCACGAGAAACUGAGAGCAGACCCUGGCAAAUAUAGCAGGCAGGUUUGA